RNAcentral lists this unclassified non-coding RNA (706 nucleotides) under Hevea brasiliensis (rubber tree). Lineage: Eukaryota; Viridiplantae; Streptophyta; Magnoliopsida; Malpighiales; Euphorbiaceae. The record is from RNAcentral.
AAGAUACAAUGGGCACUAUGGAGAAGGUGUGUUUGUGAUUGCCAACUUCCUCUCGUCGUUCCCUUUCAUGGUGAUCAUCACUGUAUCGUCUGGAACUAUAGUCUAUUACAUGGUGAAAUUUCAUCUGGGAUUCUCCAUCUAUUGCCAUUUCUGCAUCAAUCUCUUCUGUUGCAUUUCUAUCAUGGAGACUAUCGCAAUGAUUGUUGCAUUACUUGUGAAUAAUUUCUUGACGGGCAUUGGAGUUUCAGCUGCUGUAAUUAUGGUUUUGACAAUUGCAUCUGGACUCUAUAGGCCACUGGCUUAUCUUCCCAAGUUCUUUUGGCAAUACCCCAUGAGCUAUAUCAGCUUUACGACAUGGGCUGUAGAGGGUCAAUACAAAAAUGAUAUGAUUGGACUCGAAUUCGAAUCAUGGCUGCCUGGAGAACCAAAGCUAAAGGGCGAGAAAAUCCUUAAGACUGAUCUAGGUAUCAAAUCAAACCACUCCAAGUGGUGGGAUUUGACUGCUCUCUUCUUCAUAUUUUUGUGUCACAGGGUUGUUUUCUUUAUGGUACUAAAAUACAAGGACAGAGCAGUAUUGCUAUUGCACAGGCUCUUUGCCAAACAGAGUUUAGAACCCCUACGCAAAACGAUUUCAGAUUCUUUUAGAAGGGAAAAAUAUACCUCCUCUAAGAGACACCAACCCCUCCAUCCAUUGUCUUCUCAAGAA